This 234-nucleotide ribosomal RNA is filed under the name uncultured bacterium. RNAcentral's name for it is "partial 16S ribosomal RNA". It matches the Rfam family "Bacterial small subunit ribosomal RNA", at positions 524 to 754 of the family's 1533-position model. The record is from RNAcentral.
UACAGAGGUCUCAAGCGUUGUUCGGAUUCAUUGGGCGUAAAGGGUGUGUAGGUGGCGCGCUAAGUCGGGGUGUGAAAUUUCGGAGCUUAACUCCGAAACUGGCAUUCGAUACUGGCGUGCUUGAGGACUGGAGAGGGAGACUGGAAUUCAUGGUGUAGCAGUGAAAUGCGUAGAGAUCAUGAGGAAGACCAGUGGCGAAGGCGGGUCUCUGGGCAGUAACUGACGCUGAGGAGC